This is a non-coding RNA of Parasteatoda tepidariorum (common house spider), 965 nucleotides long. Lineage: Eukaryota; Metazoa; Arthropoda; Arachnida; Araneae; Theridiidae. The record is from RefSeq and is a predicted model, not a curated record.
ACUUUUACAUUCAGAAUUUUUAAUUGGAAACUUUGAUGUCCCUUCAAAUGACUGUAUUUUAUUUUACAACUAAGCCUAAAAAGUCUUCAUUUCUGUGCAUGCAUUUAAAACGUGUUAAUUCUAUAUUCGGUUAUAUUUUUUAUGAUGUCUAAUGUUUUUAGUAACCUCUAUGACAAUUAUUCAUUGCGAUAACUAUUUAAUUUCUUUAGUAUGUUGUGUUUAUAAAUUACAUUGGGUAGUAAGUAGGUAAUUUAUGCUGAACACGGUUUAUGUGAUUAUUGUUUUUAUUUUGUUACAAUAGCAGUAUAAAUGUCUUAUUCAUACAUCUCUUUUUUAUCUUUCAAGUUUUACUUUUAAUGUUUUGAAUCAUAACUCUUAUUAAUCGAUCUAGUUUUUGUCAAAACAAAAUUUCUAUUAAGUUUGCCUAUUUUUUAGUAUAAUAUUUUUCUUAUGUGAUUAUAAGCGGGAUAUUUCCUUAAUGUAUAGCAUUUAUAGUUAAAGUAUGUGUAAUUACUCAAUUCGAAAACGGCCUUGAGGUUUUCUAAAGUGUUAACUUUAUAGUUGAGUCUUCCAUGAUUAAUAUUGAUGUGUCGUUAAUGAUUAAUAUUGAUGUUGGUUUACAAUAUUAGUAAUAUUGACCAAUUUUUGGGGAUUUGAAUACAAGUACCAGUUCGCUUUUUGCAUCAAGCUAUUAGAAGAGGUAGGAGCCUGAAUCUUGUCAAAUACUGAAGAAGCAAUGAAUAUUACAAUUGAUGUGUGCCUGCUGUUACAUUAUUAUUACCUAAUAUUUUAUAGGAAGCACAUUGAUAGCUCGAUGUAACUGAAAAGUUUUGCAAGAAUUGAAUAGUUAAUAUGUUUACUUGAGUUCUAUAUAAACUGUUUCCAGUCAAAAAAAAAGCAUUAGAGAGUAUCAAUUCCAGACUAGCCCUUGUGAUGAAAUCUGGAAAGUAUGUUCUAGGAAACAA